RNAcentral lists this ribosomal RNA (2892 nucleotides) under Acinetobacter baumannii AB4857. RNAcentral's name for it is "bacterial LSU rRNA". It matches the Rfam family "Bacterial large subunit ribosomal RNA". The record is from RNAcentral. Lineage: Bacteria; Pseudomonadati; Pseudomonadota; Gammaproteobacteria; Moraxellales; Moraxellaceae.
AGUGCAUGUGGUGGAUGCCUUGGCAGUCAGAGGCGAUGAAAGACGUGAUAGCCUGCGAAAAGCUCCGGGGAGGCGGCAAAUAUCCUUUGAUCCGGAGAUGUCUGAAUGGGGGAACCCACCUACUUUAAGGUAGGUAUUGCAACAUGAAUACAUAGUGUUGCAAGGCGAACGAGGGGAAGUGAAACAUCUCAGUACCCUUAGGAAAGAAAUCAAUUGAGAUUCCCUCAGUAGCGGCGAGCGAACGGGGAUCAGCCCAUUAAGUUAUGUGUGUUUUAGUGGAACGCUCUGGGAAGUGCGAACGUAGAGGGUGAUAUUCCCGUACACGAAAGGGCACACAUAAUGAUGACGAGUAGGGCGAGGCACGUGAAACCUUGUCUGAAUAUGGGGGGACCAUCCUCCAAGGCUAAAUACUCCUGACUGACCGAUAGUGAACCAGUACCGUGAGGGAAAGGCGAAAAGAACCCCUGUGAGGGGAGUGAAAUAGAUCCUGAAACCGCAUGCAUACAAGCAGUGGGAGCACCUUCGUGGUGUGACUGCGUACCUUUUGUAUAAUGGGUCAGCGACUUAUAUUCAGUAGCGAGGUUAACCGUAUAGGGGAGCCGUAGAGAAAUCGAGUCUUAAUAGGGCGUUUAGUUGCUGGGUAUAGACCCGAAACCAGGCGAUCUAUCCAUGAGCAGGUUGAAGGUUGGGUAAACACUAAACUGGAGGACCGAACCCACUGUCGUUGAAAAGCCAGGGGAUGACUUGUAGGAAUAAGGGGUGAAAGGCUAAUCAAGCCUGGUGAAUACGCUGGUUCUCCCCGAAAGCUAUUUAGGUUAGCGCCUCGGACGAAAUAACCAUAGGGGGUAGAAGCACUAGUUUCGGCUAGGGGGUCAAUCCCGACUUACCAAAACCGAUGCAAACUCCGAAUACCUAUGAGUACUAUCCGGGAGACAGACUGCGGGUGACUAACGUCCGUAGUCAAGAGGAAAACAAUCCAGACCGCCAGCUAAGGCCCCAAAAUCAUAGUUAAGUGGGAAACGAUGUGGGAAGGCAUAGACAGCUAGGAGGUUGGCUUAGAAGCAGCCACCCUUUAAAGAAAGCGUAAUAGCUCACUAGUCGAGUCGGCCUGCGCGGAAGAUGUAACGGGGCUAAAACUAUGUGCCGAAGCUGCGGAUGUAUACUUUGUAUACGUGGUAGGGGAGCGUUCUGUAAGCCGAUGAAGGUGUGUUGAGAAGCAUGCUGGAGGUAUCAGAAGUGCGAAUGCUGACGUGAGUAACGACAAAACGGGUGAAAAACCCGUUCGCCGAAAGACCAAGGGUUCCAGUCCAACGUUAAUCGGGGCUGGGUGAGUCGACCCCUAAGGCGAGGCCGAAAGGCGUAGUCGAUGGGAAAAUGGUUAAUAUUCCAUUACUUCUGUGUAAUGCGAUGAGAGGACGGAGAAGGCUAAAUCAGCCUGGCGUUGGUUGUCCAGGUGAAAGGAUGUAGGCAUGUAUCUUAGGCAAAUCCGGGGUACUCUAUGCUGAGAUCUGAUAGCAAGCUGUACUUGUACAGCGAAGUGGUUGAUGCCAUGCUUCCAGGAAAAGUCUCUAAGCUUCAGUUACACAGGAAUCGUACCCGAAACCGACACAGGUGGUCAGGUCGAGUAGACCAAGGCGCUUGAGAGAACUCUGCUGAAGGAACUAGGCAAAAUGGUACCGUAACUUCGGGAGAAGGUACGCUGUUGUUGGUGAUGGAACUCGCUUCCUGAGCUGACGACAGCCGCAGAAACCAGGCCGCUGCAACUGUUUAUUAAAAACAUAGCACUCUGCAAACACGAAAGUGGACGUAUAGGGUGUGAUGCCUGCCCGGUGCUGGAAGGUUAAUUGAUGGGGUUAGCGUAAGCGAAGCUCUUGAUCGAAGCCCCAGUAAACGGCGGCCGUAACUAUAACGGUCCUAAGGUAGCGAAAUUCCUUGUCGGGUAAGUUCCGACCUGCACGAAUGGCAUAAUGAUGGCGGCGCUGUCUCCAGCAGAGGCUCAGUGAAAUCGAAAUCGCUGUGAAGAUGCAGUGUACCCGCGGCUAGACGGAAAGACCCCGUGAACCUUUACUGCAGCUUGACACUGAACUUUGACCUUACUUGUGUAGGAUAGGUGGGAGGCUUUGAAGCUGGAACGCUAGUUCCAGUGGAGCCGUCCUUGAAAUACCACCCUGGUAAUGUUGAGGUUCUAACUCUGUCCCGUGAUCCGGGACGAGGACCGUGUCUGGUGGGUAGUUUGACUGGGGCGGUCUCCUCCUAAAGAGUAACGGAGGAGUACGAAGGUGCGCUCAGCGUGGUCGGAAAUCACGCGUAGAGUAUAAAGGCAAAAGCGCGCUUAACUGCGAGACCCACAAGUCGAGCAGGUACGAAAGUAGGUCUUAGUGAUCCGGUGGUUCUGUAUGGAAGGGCCAUCGCUCAACGGAUAAAAGGUACUCUGGGGAUAACAGGCUGAUACCGCCCAAGAGUUCAUAUCGACGGCGGUGUUUGGCACCUCGAUGUCGGCUCAUCUCAUCCUGGGGCUGAAGCAGGUCCCAAGGGUAUGGCUGUUCGCCAUUUAAAGAGGUACGCGAGCUGGGUUUAGAACGUCGUGAGACAGUUCGGUCCCUAUCUACCGUGGGCGCUGGAAAUUUGAGAGGAUCUGCUCCUAGUACGAGAGGACCAGAGUGGACGAACCUCUGGUGUACCGGUUGUGACGCCAGUCGCAUCGCCGGGUAGCUAUGUUCGGAAGGGAUAACCGCUGAAAGCAUCUAAGCGGGAAGCCUACCUCAAGAUAAGAUUUCCCUAGGACUUUAUGUCCUCUAAAGAGCCGUUCGAGACUAGGACGUUGAUAGGUUGGAUGUGGAAGCAUAGUGAUAUGUGAAGCUGACCAAUACUAAUUGCUCGUGAGGCUUGACU